AACGAACGCAGGCGGCAGGCCUAACACAUGCAAGUCGAACGCUCCGCAAGGGGAGUGGCAGACGGGUGAGUAACACGUGGGAAUCUUCCUGUCGGUACGGAAUAGCUCAGGGAAACUUGGGGUAAUACCGCAUACGCCCUUCGGGGGAAAGAUUUAUCGCCGAUAGAUGAGCCCGCGUCUGAUUAGCUAGUUGGUGAGGUAAUGGCUCACCAAGGCGACGAUCAGUAGCUGGUUUGAGAGAAUGACCAGCCACACUGGGACUGAGACACGGCCCAGACUCCUACGGGAGGCAGCAGUGGGGAAUCUUGGACAAUGGGCGCAAGCCUGAACCAGCCAUGCCGCGUGAGUGACGAAGGUCUUCGGAUUGUAAAGCUCUUUUGCCAGGGACGAUAAUGACGGUACCUGGAGAAUAAGCCCCGGCUAACUUCGUGCCAGCAGCCGCAGUAA
This 447-nucleotide ribosomal RNA is filed under the name uncultured bacterium. RNAcentral describes it as "partial 16S ribosomal RNA". It matches the Rfam family "Bacterial small subunit ribosomal RNA", at positions 29 to 523 of the family's 1533-position model. The record is from RNAcentral.